Long non-coding RNA from Helianthus annuus (common sunflower), 4296 nucleotides. RefSeq lists it as uncharacterized. The transcript has 8 exons. NCBI's taxonomy places the organism in Eukaryota, Viridiplantae, Streptophyta, Magnoliopsida, Asterales, Asteraceae. The record is from RefSeq and is a predicted model, not a curated record.
AACCCUUCAAGUUUUCUCAAUUGCCUGACACCAUCUUUACAUCCCAUGUGCCAUCAUCGUUGGUUCUCCUUCGCGCUCUCUCUCUAUCCUUAUUCUUGCUCUCUGUUGGCGACUGCUUCACAUAAGCUGCGGCCUGUGAUUUCUGACGACGGGGAGGAACUCGGAUUGAGGUAGUUUCGUCGUUUUCCUGGCAUCCCCAAUCUAGCGAUGAUGAGGAAUCAACGGUGACUUGGGAGAAGAAUUCAAUCGAGCGAUGAUGAGGUGUUGCCUGGGUAGAUCGAGCAACCUGAGGGUUUAGUAAAGUGAGGAAUCAACGGUGACUUGGGAGCUAGGAUUCAAUGGAUUCCAGCGAUCGGUCAACCUUUCUAUUAUCUUCUCUUAUUCAUAGGGGAACAGAGAUAAAUAGGUUGGUGAAGGUGAAGCAUUGGGUUUCACGGCGGCCAAGGUGUGAUGGACUUUUGUAUGAUUUCUUUAGAAAAACUUGAUAUUUGGCAACCUUGAUUCUGAAAUUUACAGACCUUCCAUCAACAUACAUGCAAGAAUAGAGUACCAAAAAGAUUAUCAAAUGCAAGUUGUCAAUGAUAUGCUUGCAAGCCGAAAGCCACAUCCAUAAUCAUUGACUGGACAUGCGGAAAACAGUGUCACCUCCAUUAAUAAGGGCAUGCAAGAAUGUCAAAAAAGUUAAAAUCGAAGAUAAAUGGUAAGUACUAAGUACCUUGCAUAACUAAUUCCAUAUUAUUGCAAGUUUUAAUGUCAUUUAAACUUUACCGCUUCACAUUAUAUUAGAUUUCAAUUUUAAGUUCUCUUUUUCUUCUAACACAUUUUGCAACAGAAAGAAUCCAAUAAAGAUUACCUUCUGGUUAGAAACAUUGUUUCCAUAUAAAAAUGAAACUGCAGUUGGCUAGGUGUUGGCAGUUACAGCAACCUUGAUAACACAGUACCUAACUAAGUUUUAACAUUCUUGGCUUUAUUACACCUCUACACAGAUGUCAUAAAUCCAACCUCAUUACCAUGGCUUUACACAUCUGCACAGAUGUCUUAAAUCCAACCCCAUUACCAAAUACAUUAUCUAUAUCUUAAAUGGAAAUGUUGGUGGCAUUUCCAUUCUUAGUCCCUCCUUUUACUUGCAUUUAAUACUUUCAUCCUUAUCAUUUUCUUUGUUUGUUUGGUCUUCCUUACGUUCAAUGGUCCGCUUUCACCACUGCAAACAGCCGCCGCCACACCACUGCACGAUCGCGUGUUAAACCAUUGGUCCAUUCACACAAGGCGGUGCUUCUUAAAGACCAUAAAUAAGGUUGUUGCAUCGACUGUGGCCUUCGAUUCCAACGAGACGAAGCAAGUGCCAAGAGAGCGAUUACGGCGGCGGUGGGAAGGGAGAGAGAGACACAGUCUCGAGGCUCAAAUGGAACCAUUGUCGCUGCCAAAGUGUCGAAUGUAGCAUUUUCGUACAUUUCUAGGUUGAUGAUGAUAGCAGACGAUGGUGGAGGGCGGCGGCAGGAGGUGGUCUAUGGCAUGAGUAGCUGUUGGUCUACAAAAUACAAUCUGAUUGAGUUUUCGUUCUUCUAUUUGAUAAUCGUUUGACCGAAUUUUUUUCUUUGGGGCUGCAUUUCUUCACAUGGAUUCUUCAUCAACUGUGAUCAAGAAGAAGGCCCAAGUAAGAAAACCAAGAUCGAAGCCCCACGCCAAUCUCACAAAAAGCAUUGUAUGCAAUUGUUUUCGCCAGAAUACGUAGAAGAUGUCAAAAUACAGACAUUGUAAUCUAACCGCCAAAUUUAAGGUAAAGACUAAAGAAAUACCAUCCCAGCCGCGUAGCACGGUUCGUUUAGACAUAGGUGGAAGUUGCGAUGUUGAUGGUUCUUUGUAAGCGCUUACACAGAGCAGCAGGUUAAGGCACUGAUGGGUUAGUGUUUUUACAAUUACCAUUGGUAUUCCCUUUAUUUUCUUGGGAAUCUUGGUUGGAUUUUUGCUACUGACAGUGGGACUGCUGAUACCAUCAAAGAGACCAUACUUACACUUUAUAGUGAGUGAUGUGGUUAAAACUUAUUACAAACUUUAAUAGUGAUUUUAUUUUAUACACUUCAAUAAACGUUUAUAGUCUACAUGAUUCUUGCGUUAAUAAUCUAUUGUAUAUCCACAUGUCAUUUGGAGACAGUGAACCAUGUCAAGUUAAAAGAAACUGAAAGAAACAUGGUAACAGUUAUGAAACUUCUACAACACAAUUGAAAAUAACCUGCUAAAAAGAGACUAUUCGUAUAGCUUUCAAAGUUGUCUUUAAUAACAAUUUACGAGCUCUUUUGCACUUACCAUUAGUUAUUUAGAGAUCACAUGUAUGUUUACCGAGUAGUUCAUGGUUUAGCGGCUUAGCGUGCCGCAACGCGCGCGCGCGGGGGGCAUAAUACUAGUAAUAAUUAAAGAAAAACUACACUAGCAAUCCAACAAUAUUAAAAAAAAACUUUAUUAACUUUUCGAAGGGGUAUGGUCCUAAAUAGUGCGCACAGCCACAUGCGUGGAUACCAAACCCACGAUUAAUACACAAACACUCAGCAAGCCUUAGAGUUUCCUGCAGGAGAACAUUCGCGCAUGUGCAUGGCGACAACUCACAUAAAGGACGAAUAAUACAUGUGGCAGCAGCAUGCAACUAAUCAGGUUGUAGCAGGCUCUGCAAAUACACCCCCACGAUGGACAAAUCGUGCAUGGGACAACAAGCACAAAAGGAUGAGUACGUGACACUGAUCAGUCGUGCCAGACGCUGCCACACGAUCUCCGUUGACGGUUGAUGACAAGCCCAACAAAAGGUACACUUGGACGACAUCGUGUAGCCAAUCACGUUGCGCCAUGCCGACUCCACCUCUGCAGACACUACCUAUCUGGCUAGAGGGAACCAAGUGGAUAUUCAUCGACAGUAAUAGCUGGCCUAUUGCACAUAAGCCCACGUUUAUCCUCUCCCUUAUUUGACUAUAAAUACCAGACUCCUUAAAAGACUCGCUCUCGGAACAACAUUAGUCAUUGAUCAAGGAAAGAUUAAGGUUUAACAGUCUUGUCGAUACUACCUCUUUGGUUCCAGCCCUGCAUUAGAACCAAUGUUUCUUCAUUGGCACCAUCUGUGUUUUUACUACAAACAACUUUCAUCUUUUCUCUCUUCGUUUCGAUCCAAUGGCUGAUCAACCUCCUGCAUUUCCACUUUUCGGUUCGAACUCUAAAUCUACAGCCACAGGGACCACCUCGCACCGUUUUGAAACCCAUGACAAGGAAUACGAACACGUGGAGUACAAUACUGGCACAUUCCAUCAUGAAAAAGGAAGCGUCGCACAAACAAACCAAGAUCCAGAUGUCAUACCGCUGAAUCAAGUCGCGCAACUCUCACCUUUGCUACCAGAGGGAAAAACUCCCACCUCAUUGUACAUAAAGUCACAAGCAACACUAAAUGUUGUGUACGUGCAACAAUAUGAAUGCACAACUCGAGAGUUAACCUAUGGUUCACCUCCCCUUGACCGUACACUGUCACACGUGUCAGCCGGACAUGGGAACCACAACCGACAAAACAGGAACAAAGACUUCCAUCACAUUAUGAGCACCACGCGCAACACACAUGCUGACACCGGAAGACACGAUGAUGCCCAAUAUGAGCAUCUUCGUAGGCAGACUCCUAUCCAGCACCGUCUAGGUCCCCGUGUAAUUCCUGACGAGUGGGACACAAUGACAAAGGAUUUCUAUCCUACAUAUCAAGAAGCAUACAACACAAGUGUUUACACCAAUAGGAUGCAAGGUAACCAUGCAACUUACAAACCGAAUGCUCGCGCAACAUACAAUUCGGAAGCUGAAGACAUCUACUCUUUGGUGUACAGACCAGCGGGCGGCUGCCGAACAGCCAAACUUCGUUCCAAAAAUUGCUCUGGCCAUGAUGGAAAAGGCAAAACUCUCAUCCAAUGUUGGGAAGUUUAUGGGGUUGUUAGACCCAGAUGACCAUAUCUGGCUGUUAACCAGCGCAGGGAUGAUCAUAUAUUGGACCCAUUUUAUAUGGUGCCAUCUAUUUAUCCAGACACUUACUGGCGCAACUUGCGCAUGGUUUGACAAUUUACCGGUUGACAAGAUAGAAAAUUGGACAAAUUUGCAAACCAAGUUUCUACAUUUAGGAUACAAACUUUAUUGUGUAAAAAUGUUAAAGCUAAGUAUCUAACCCUAACAUUAGUGAGCAAAAAUCAUCACCAACAAUUUGUACUUUAUCAUCACAUGCAACAUUUAUCUUGCAUAAUGCUCUCAAUCAUCAUGUUCAAACAUGGUCUGAAUAUUCUACAU